RNAcentral lists this ribosomal RNA (490 nucleotides) under uncultured bacterium. Its description in RNAcentral is "partial 16S ribosomal RNA". It matches the Rfam family "Bacterial small subunit ribosomal RNA", at positions 30 to 507 of the family's 1533-position model. The record is from RNAcentral.
AUUGAACGCUGGCGGCAGGCCUAACACAUGCAAGUCGAACGGUAACAGGAAGAAGCUUGCUUCUUUGCUGACGAGUGGCGGACGGGUGAGUAAUGUCUGGGAAACUGCCUGAUGGAGGGGGAUAACUACUGGAAACGGUAGCUAAUACCGCAUAACGUCGCAAGACCAAAGAGGGGGACCUUCGGGCCUCUUGCCAUCGGAUGUGCCCAGAUGGGAUUAGCUAGUAGGUGGGGUAACGGCUCACCUAGGCGACGAUCCCUAGCUGGUCUGAGAGGAUGACCAGCCACACUGGAACUGAGACACGGUCCAGACUCCUACGGGAGGCAGCAGUGGGGAAUAUUGCACAAUGGGCUCAAGCCUGAUGCAGCCAUGCCGCGUGUAUGAAGAAGGCCUUCGGGUUGUAAAGUACUUUCAGCGGGGAGGAAGGGAGUAAAGUUAAUACCUUUGCUCAUUGACGUUACCCGCAGAAGAAGCACCGGCUAACUCCGUG